RNAcentral lists this ribosomal RNA (497 nucleotides) under uncultured bacterium. RNAcentral's name for it is "partial 16S ribosomal RNA". It matches the Rfam family "Bacterial small subunit ribosomal RNA", at positions 28 to 507 of the family's 1533-position model. The record is from RNAcentral.
GAUGAACGCUGGCGGCGUGCCUAAUACAUGCAAGUCGAGCGAACAGACUAUGCGCUUGCUCCUUUCACGUUAGCGUCUGACGUGUGAGUAACUCGUUGAUAACUUACUUAUCUGACUGGUAUCACUUCGUGAAACCGGAGCUAAUACCGUAUUAUAUCUUGAUCCUCAUUGUUCAAUAGUGAUAGACUGUUUUGCUGUCUCUUAUCGCUGCAUCCGCGCCGUAUUUGAUAUUUGGUAAUGUAACGGCUUACCAAGGCAAUGAUGCGUAGCCGACCUGAGAGGGUGAUCGGCAACACUGGAACUGAGACACGGUCAAGACUCCUACGGGAGGAAGCAGUAGGGAAUCUUCCGCAAUGGGCGAAAGCCUGACGGAGCAACGCGGCGUGAGGGAUGAAGGUCUUCGGAUCGAAAAACUCUGUUAUUAGGGAAAAACAAAUGUGUAAGUAAAAAUGCACGUCGUGACGGUACCUGAUCAGAAAGCCACGGCUAACUACGUG